AAAAUUAAGUUCUGCUGUGGCUUGUGAAAGCAGACAGCCAACAGCAGGGUGGAGGAGGCAUUGCUGUCCCUCAGAGAGAGCUCACAGGUGACUGCAAGCCUCAUAGGUGCCAGGGGAUCCAAGCAGGAGAAACCCUUGUGAAUGCUGCUGCUGCUGCAGGAAAAGCUGCUUUGGGAGCAUGCUGUCCCUCUAGCAGGCCUUGGGAGCCCCUGCUGCCUCAGGAGCUACUUGUAGCGUAACUAAGAAGUCUGUGUGCAGCUACAGUGUGUGCUCUGAGCCGGAGGAGAUUUAGUAAUGUCUUCAUCUACCAAGUCCCAAAUCCUGGCCCCAGCUUUCGGAAACUGACAGCUGAACCAGAGCAGUGCAGCUCACUUGCAUGAAGGAUUGCCGUGCUGCUGUGAAGGGCACAAGCUGGCACGGAGACACCCCGCGCCUCACCUGUUGACGUGGCCAGGAAAGGAAGGAGGACUCAUGAAGCCACAGGCAGACAAAGCAAGAGGGAGCAAAACUCUUUUGCCCAACAAUGAGGCAAUUUCCUGGGAUGGACCAGUUGUGGGAUCUGCUACUUCCCAGAAGUGCUUGAGCACUUUUGUAAUCGGCUCAUCACUCAUCAGAGGAACCUUCCAUGGGAUUUCCGAAGCCUGCCCCUGCAUUCACUGUACUUUGUUACCGGGAACACUGUACUUUUUUACAGGGAACAGCUGCCUCAGGGUUAUGACCUGUUGGCUGGCAAAAAUAGGUGCCAGGUGAGGUUCCUGCCAGGGCAUGACUGCCAGGCUGAAGAAAUGCCUCUGCCCUUGUGCAAGGAAGUGGCUCAUUUAUUUCCAUGACACUCUGUUCCUUUGUGUGCUCCAUGGAGCAGGUUUUGGCAAGCAGCGUUCACGCAAGUCUCUCUGUUUUAAGUGGAAAAGCUCCAAAGCUGAUAAAUUUCCUGUGUCAGAGAAAGGACAUCUCUGUUCUAGGCCAGGAUGCUAUCGUGAGCAUCCUGUUGCUCUUAGUGCUGCAGUUCUGUUACUACUGGAGUACGAUGCUCACUCCUUAGAAGAUCUGGAAGUUUUAAAAAUUGUUAAUUUCUUUAUGGAGUGAAAGGAACUGUCUGAAAUGCUGUUAUUUUUACAUUUAUAUUUUUCUUGUCAAUCCUAUUGUCUCUACUUGGACUCUAACGGGAUGUUUUAAUUUGA
Non-coding RNA from Anas platyrhynchos (mallard), 1181 nucleotides. The record is from RefSeq and is a predicted model, not a curated record. Lineage: Eukaryota; Metazoa; Chordata; Aves; Anseriformes; Anatidae.